GGCAGGGAGCGAUUGCUUGUCUUUCCUGCCCUUAUUCGCCAAGGGAUGAAUGGCUCGUUGAGAAUAGCUGAAUGGAUGGGAUAAGUGUUCAUGUGGGUAUUGAUGGAGAAAUAAAUUUAAAAACAAAGAUGUCAAAGAGAGAUGCUGAAGAAAACAGAUGAAAUAAGAAAAGGAAACAGAAAGAAGAUAGAUAACAAAUGUUGGUGUGGAAGAUGUACCAAAUGAUCAACAAACAUGAAACCAAUCUCAUAGAGGUGGUUGUCUCUGUUCCGGUUCUCCCCUGACCGGGAAAUGCGUACAACAGCACGCCUCGGAGAUCCUCGAGAGGUAGGGCAAACUAAAGGGAAGAUAAAAGAGGAAGAGGUGGAACCUCUUCAACAGGACGCUUGCCUAAACUUAUCUCUCGCCUCCGAGAUUGUAUGUCAUCUAACAUCGAAGGAGAGGCAAGAGAUCGGCGGAAAGAAAUGUCCGUAGAAGACCCAGUAUGGUGUGGAUCAUAGGAAAACCAAAAUGGUGGACAACAGGUAUAUCAGGCCCAGGAAGACGGACAGCAGAACCGGCAAGAGUAACACACAUCGGAAGGAGUAUCCUCGGAACGGCGCCCGUGCACGCAGAGAAGCAGAAAGGGAGAACGACCGGCCGCGGCGACGACCUGAUCCCCGGCCUACACCUCCUCCGGGCAGUUGUAUGGCAGACAAAGAAGCAACAUAAGGUAAAGCAGGAGACCCAGAACCAGAAGAUGGCCGAUCGAACGCAGCAGCACCAGCUGAACCAACAGCUGAGGCAGGAAGAGCAGCAGAGGAGUCCCGCCGAUGGCCGCGAGAACCCCGGCCGAGGAAGCAGCUGAUCCAGGCCACGGCGGAAACGCAGCGCCGAAGGCACAUGCAAAGGAAGUGGAGGCAAAGCCGGCGACGCGUAUGACGGAUGCACCGGCGAAGACGGCGGGUACGGCUAACCGCAGGCGAGCUGCUAAGAUGAUGAAGACGCGGCAAGAGCCGGCGCAAAGGCGGCGGUACAGGAACCGGGCGACCUCCCCAACGACCUGCAGCAGCAUCCAUGACCAAGCAGAUUCCUGAAACAAAAUAAAUCGAGUAAGACGGGACAAAGCGGGACGCCAAACGGAGAAGAACCAGAAGGAAACGCUGAGAUCAAAACCUGGAAAGGAAAUCCAGCGACGGAAGAAAAAGGGGAGGAAAGAAAGAGCAGCGGUCUCUCCGCUGCAGAUAGGUAGUCGUAUGAACCGAGGAGAAGACGCAUGAGGAAAUUAGGUCCAGGAAGAAG
Long non-coding RNA from Lolium rigidum, 1281 nucleotides. RefSeq lists it as uncharacterized. The transcript is spliced from 4 exons. The record is from RefSeq and is a predicted model, not a curated record. NCBI's taxonomy places the organism in Eukaryota, Viridiplantae, Streptophyta, Magnoliopsida, Poales, Poaceae.